RNAcentral lists this ribosomal RNA (253 nucleotides) under uncultured bacterium. Its description in RNAcentral is "partial 16S ribosomal RNA". It matches the Rfam family "Bacterial small subunit ribosomal RNA", at positions 524 to 776 of the family's 1533-position model. The record is from RNAcentral.
UACGAAGGGUGCAAGCGUUACUCGAAAUUACUGGGCGUAAAGCGUGCGUAGGCGGUUUGUUAAGUCUGUCGUGAAAGCCCCGGGCUCAACCUGGGAAUGGCGAUGGAUACUGGCGAGCUAGAGUACGGUAGAGGAGAGUGGAAUUCCCGGUGUAGCAGUGAAAUGCGUAGAGAUCGGGAGGAACAUCAGUUGCGAAGGCGGCUCUCUGGACCAGUACUGACGCUGAGGCACGAAAGCGUGGGGAGCAAACAGG